This 540-nucleotide long non-coding RNA is filed under the name Neodiprion pinetum (white pine sawfly). Its description in RNAcentral is "uncharacterized LOC124217622". The record is from RNAcentral. Lineage: Eukaryota; Metazoa; Arthropoda; Insecta; Hymenoptera; Diprionidae.
UCACGGGCGUUAACUAUUGGACAAGAAUAUAAUUCGAAGUUGUUAGUGACGUCGUGCGGCGCUUACCACAUUACCACGAAACGACCAGUAGGAACCUCGACUUAAGCUUGUUCGAUUUUAUUCCCGGUGUAAAGUACAAUGUCCGUGCUUACGUGAUAAGGUCUCGGAAUGGGAUUGAAAAUGGUACAAACUAUGUAAAUCUCACCUGGACGACCCCACGUGGUGUGACAGAAUUGGAAGCGUACGAUGCCGACUGCGACAGAAGCACCAUCUCCUUGCGAUUUAUUCCGUCAGUCCUUCUUUACGACCGAAUCGAAUCCUACGAAGUCUUCAUCGCCGAAGGAAACGAGCUCCCCAAAAAUAUGACUUUUGGUAAUACGAAAGAACAGAUCUGUGAUUUGUGGGAUGAUCACACAUGCUUGAAAGAUGUAUCCCUACCUUCGAACGCUAAGGUCAACAUAACGAUUCACGCGACGGGCAAGAAGCUUGAUCGAUUUGAUAUCCGGAGUAACAUCACCUUCUCGCUGGAAGAAUCGUGCA